AUAGUGGUGGUUCAGUCAUAGAAUUCUUGCCUUCCAUCCAGGAGACGUGGGUUUGAUUCCCGGCCAAUGUA
Molecule: transfer RNA, 71 nt
Filed under: Loxodonta africana (African savanna elephant)
Lineage: Eukaryota; Metazoa; Chordata; Mammalia; Proboscidea; Elephantidae
Rfam family: tRNA
About the family: Transfer RNA (tRNA) molecules are approximately 80 nucleotides in length. Their secondary structure includes four short double-helical elements and three loops (D, anti-codon, and T loops).
Source: Rfam by way of RNAcentral